UGGGGAAUUUUGGACAAUGGGCGAAAGCCUGAUCCAGCAAUGCCGCGUGUGUGAAGAAGGCCUUCGGGUUGUAAAGCACUUUUGUCCGGAAAGAAAUCCUUGGCUCUAAUACAGUCGGGGGAUGACGGUACCGGAAGAAUAAGCACCGGCUAACUACGUGCCAGCAGCCGCGGUAAUACGUAGGGUGCAAGCGUUAAUCGGAAUUACUGGGCGUAAAGCGUGCGCAGGCGGUUUGCUAAGACCGAUGUGAAAUCCCCGGGCUCAACCUGGGAACUGCAUUGGUGACUGGCAGGCUAGAGUAUGGCAGAGGGGGGUAGAAUUCCACGUGUAGCAGUGAAAUGCGUAGAGAUGUGGAGGAAUACCGAUGGCGAAGGCAGCCCCCUGGGCCAAUACUGACGCUCAUGCACGAAAGCGUGGGGAGCAAACAGGAUUAGAUACCCUGGUAGUCCACGCCCUAAAACGAUGUCAACUAGUUGUUGGGGAUUCAUUUCCUAGUAACGUAGCUAACGCGUGAAGUUGACCGCCUGGGGAGUACGGUCGCAAGAUUAAAACUUAAAUG
RNAcentral lists this ribosomal RNA (559 nucleotides) under uncultured bacterium. RNAcentral describes it as "partial 16S ribosomal RNA". It matches the Rfam family "Bacterial small subunit ribosomal RNA", at positions 355 to 907 of the family's 1533-position model. The record is from RNAcentral.